Molecule: non-coding RNA, 2124 nt
Organism: Nicotiana tabacum (common tobacco)
Lineage: Eukaryota; Viridiplantae; Streptophyta; Magnoliopsida; Solanales; Solanaceae
Source: RefSeq, a predicted model, not a curated record
UGAACUAUGAGUCCGUUGGCAAAUAUAGAACUCAUGAAUUAUAAAUGCUGACUCUGCCACCAUAGAAAGUACUCCUUAAUAUUGUUUCCAGUAAACUGAAUGCUGUAUCCAUUAAAUGCCAAUAGCAUAAACAUGAUGAAAUAUGUAAUUGCCCUUCUAUGUGCUAUCUAUUUCAGAAAAUAAUGGGAACGGGCACAAGUAUUUUUUUUUUAUAUAUAUUAGAAAAGCUAGUGUUUCGACAUGUGUGCUUAAAGUCCUUUAAGGAAAAGUUAAGGAUAUUGUUGUCUUUUCAGAUAACCUAAGUAGCCACGUAUCAUUUGGCCACCGUUGCUCUGGUUCAUCUCCCUUCUUCGUGGUCCACUCCUCUCUUUCUUCAUCGCCAUGCUCGAACUUAAUUAGCUAAUCCAUCUGUUUUCAACGUCUUUAUCCAGAAUCCCUCAAUGCUUUCCUCGAUUUCUUUUGCUAGCACGAAUUCACCAGUGCAUGGAUUUGACGAUCCCAACGAUUGUAGUUCCGAUAAAUGGUGAUCUUCUGUUUGUUUGCUUAUUAGUGAAUAAUCUUAGGGUUUCGCUUCUUGAUAUUAUUGAUAAAUAAUUUGAAGUUUAUAGUGCUGGAGUUUUCUCGGCCAUUUUUAGGUAAACCCUACUGAAAAAUUUCACCUCUAUUGAUCCAUGCCUAGAUCUGACCAAAAAUUGGAAGAAAGUGAUAAAACAUGUGGAAGAGGAACAAAGUUGAGGACUCUUCUAUGCCUUUUGUUUAAAGGUUCCCAGAUCUUAGAGACUGUACGAGGACGACAAAUAUGUCUAAUAUUAUAGCAUUUUCAGUUGUGAUGCCUACAAUUACCUGAGGUGUAUGAACAAGGCUUCAAGUAUCAAAAGUUCUCCCUGCUCACAAUGGAGAUGACCCACUACUUCUCGAAGUCAACUAACAAUUGGUUUUACCUUGGGCAGAGGUAUGUCUUUUGAUGCAUUUCAAGCAUGUUAAAUGAUUCUGGCGUUUAUCUUAGUUUCCCUCUUUGGUUACAGGGAAGAUAUAUACUGAAGAAUUAGAAACCUUAGACAUGAUCUAUAAGCAAGCACCCUACGAGUUAUGUCAGUUGAUGUCUCCACUAAACUAUGCCUUCAUAAUGGAGGCAUUUGUAAUGUGUCUCGAGAAGAAAUCUAGGUUCAGAAUGCCCACCAUUGUGACGCCUUUUAUGUUAUACUACAUCAUGCUUAAAGAGUUUCGACGUGUCUGUUUUUAGUCAUUACAUUCAUAGCUGAGGGUAUUUUGGCCAUUUAAUCUCUUAGCAUUUCGGGGUACUUACGUGUCUAGCAAUCUGCUAGCCACUGUCAUAACGUGGCCUUAAUCCCUGUCAGGGUAUACUUACGUCCCCCCUUCUCUAUAGUCUUCUCCGUCUCUCUCCUUUACUUACUACAUCCACUUGUAUUUUCUUAGAUUCUUUCGCAAUUUUGUACAAGAUAAUUGCUUUCGCUCUGGCUUCUUUUCCUCCUAUCAUGGAUUUCAUUGUUCCUGGGUUCUUUUAUGGAUGUGGGUAGUUGGCUUCAAUUUGUUUAUAGUUGUGUGUGUUUUUUCUUUCAUUCCCUCCAUAGCUCUUAAUCACAGUAGGAGGAAAAUCAAGUCUUACACUCCAUUUAGUUAGAUUUUCAGGGAAUGAAUUUCUCCUGCUGGUAGCAUCCGGAGUAAGCUCCAUUUUGGAAAAAACAAAUUGAAGCUUCAAUUUUGAGAAAGGAUAGAUAGUGGAUAGCAGUAUGACUGGAUUUGAAUUACAUGUCACAUAUGAAGCUCAUGUAUGCUUGACAGAAUGGCUGGUCAAUUGAACAUAUGUGAAAACAUGUGAAUGUGUUUCCUUAUACGGCAAGAGCACAAAUAGCGUCUUAAAGAGGUGGUCUUUUUGGUCAAAGAUUGCUAAGGAGGACACGAGACACAACGCAAAAAAUGAAUCACUUUUUGCCAAUAUGUAAAUAGUACUCCUACAUGUAUGAAAAAUGACAAACUUUAGCAUCUAAUAGUUAGAUGUUCUCGUGGAUGUAAACGAUGUAUCAUUUAGCAACCAUGUAAUAUCCAUGAGUGGAUAUUUUAAUCCAAAAUGUAUGUAAAUGAUAUCUAGCAAUUAGUAUGUGA